CUCCUGUUAAUUGGGGUACUAAUUCAGGUUAAUUUCAGUUAUUUUCUAUCCUAUGUUUAGAAAUGCAUCAUACUAAUACUAAAACUUCAAUUUUGAUGGUCACCGUAUAAUUGUAUCUAAGAUGUAUGGAUUGAUUUGUAGUUCUUGCUCCUAGGUGUCUCCGGGAAUUCUCCAGAGGUUGCCUUAAAUGCGUCAGGCAUUAGCCCCGGUCCUCACUGGCCUAAGUUAGCCUGCCCAGGCCUCCUGAGCCGUUGGUGAGAGCAUUGCCUUGUGCUGGUCAUCUAUACCAUGACUGCUUCUUCCAGGUCCCUGGGGCCUUCCUGCUGCAGAACUGAUGGCGCUCCAGUCUUGGUCCAUUGCGCUGACACAGAAGUACUCGAGUAUAUUUCAAAACAUAUUUCUCCAUAUAUAAAGAAGAUUUAACUCUCUGAGCAUCCAUUAAACAUGUGAAGUGUGCAUCCACAGUGAACACUGUUUACCUACUCAACAACAUGUACUUGGGAGUGCCGGUAUGCAUCUUAGCACAUGUGGAGAUGUGUUGGUUCUGUGAGCAAGAACCAGUGAGUAGAACUUGGAGCCUUGUCCUACGUGAGUGACUUGGAGACUGGGGUAGUUUCCUCCGAGAUGGCCUUCCUCCCUCUCUGUGUGCACAUCCAGAGGUGCAGUCUAUACCCCUCCUCCCUUGGACCUGGCUGGACUCACUGACUUCCUUGAGCAGUAGAAUGGAACACACAUGAUGUCAGGGGCUUCAGCUGAGUCAGAGUUGCUUUGCAGCUCUCUGCUGUGCCUCUCUGAAUGAUCACUUUUGAACCUCCCCUCAAGAGGACCAGUCUUGAAAGCCAUGCAGUGAAAAGCCAAAGCCAUGUGCAGAGGUCUUGGAGGAUGAAACACGCUAUAUAGAGACAGAGGCCAGGUUGUCAGGAGGCACCAGCCACGGGAGUAAGGAAGCCAUCUUAGACAUGGGUCCUGCCCCACAUGAUACCCACAAGGUGUGGAAUUCCAGAAGUCCCAAGCCAUACAAUUGCCAGGUUAAGUAAAAUGGUUGUUUCAAGUCAGUAUGUUUAGGGCAAUUUGCUGUGUAGCAAUAGAAAACCAGAAAGAGACCCACAAAG
This 1112-nucleotide long non-coding RNA is filed under the name Felis catus (domestic cat). Its description in RNAcentral is "lncRNA (ENSFCAG00000044903.2)". Lineage: Eukaryota; Metazoa; Chordata; Mammalia; Carnivora; Felidae. The record is from RNAcentral.